CUACGGGUGGCUGCAGUGGGGAAUAUUGGACAAUGGGCGAAAGCCUGAUCCAGCAAUGCCGCGUGAGUGAUGAAGGCCUUAGGGUUGUAAAGCUCUUUUACCCGGGAUGAUAAUGACAGUACCGGGAGAAUAAGCUCCGGCUAACUCCGUGCCAGCAGCCGCGGUAAUACGGAGGGAGCUAGCGUUGUUCGGAAUUACUGGGCGUAAAGCGCGCGUAGGCGGCUUGCCAAGUCAGAGGUGAAAUCCCGGGGCUCAACCCCGGAACUGCCUUUGAAACUAGCAAGCUAGAAUCUUGGAGAGGUCAGUGGAAUUCCGAGUGUAGAGGUGAAAUUCGUAGAUAUUCGGAAGAACACCAGUGGCGAAGGCGACUGACUGGACAAGUAUUGACGCUGAGGUGCGAAAGCGUGGGGAGCAAACAGGAUUAGAUACCCGUGUAGUC
Molecule: ribosomal RNA, 439 nt
Filed under: uncultured bacterium
Lineage: Bacteria
Description: partial 16S ribosomal RNA
Rfam family: Bacterial small subunit ribosomal RNA
Source: RNAcentral